AACCAUUGAUGCCAUUUUUAAGCUGCAAAAGAUUAAUAACUUUUCAAUUCAAUUGUCAAACUCAUUGAUCAUCGAUAUGUCAAUCCUCAAUGUAACACUAAUUUAAUGCAUCAAAAUGAAAUAAAUGAACAUAAACUUUAAAAAUUCAACAUCAAGCCCAGUUAUUAGAUCAUCUUCUCAUAACGAAUAUAAUUCAAAUCAUCAAAACACACAGAAAUCUAUAUCUACAUUAAAUGAAGACAAGAAAAGGA
This 251-nucleotide unclassified non-coding RNA is filed under the name Hevea brasiliensis (rubber tree). The record is from RNAcentral. Lineage: Eukaryota; Viridiplantae; Streptophyta; Magnoliopsida; Malpighiales; Euphorbiaceae.